UAAAUUAACAGGAUUUUAAUCAUUUUAAGUUGCGUGUCCGAUCGAUGUUGCUAAUUAUUAAUUUUAAAAAUUAAGCUGAUAGAAACACAUAACUAAUUCACUUAAAACGUAUAGAUACGUACGUUUUAACUGUGAUUCGGUUCAACCAAUUUCACGCCACUUCGAACAUGAUUCAACUCAACUCAGUCUCACGCCAUUUCAAACGUGACUUGACCCCCACUGGCCUCAAGCGGAAAAAUGGGAUGUUGAUUCAUUUAAGACAACACUACGCUCGU
This 275-nucleotide long non-coding RNA is filed under the name Ananas comosus (pineapple). Its description in RNAcentral is "long non-coding RNA (ACOM_LNC000176)". Lineage: Eukaryota; Viridiplantae; Streptophyta; Magnoliopsida; Poales; Bromeliaceae. The record is from RNAcentral.